CAUCGACAAUGGUAUUGUAUCGCUUUUUUUAUUCACAAACAAGACAAACCCCAUAAUAAAUAUUUCUAAAGUAUCUUUGGAUUUCAUAUUAAGAAUUAUGGGCAAGCAAAUCACAUGCACACAUUUGAUUUUAUGCAUAAGGUGCUCUGAUAUUGUCAGCAACGAGGAACCCGGCCUAGAUUGAUUGUAAAAAACACCCUAUUUCAGUGAUUUUUUCGAAUUCCUAAAGGUACCCCUUUUUCUACGUUUUAUUUUCCUAGAUUUAAAGAAAAGCUACUCCUUUGCCAGAGGUUUUCUGGACACGCCUCCCAAGGGGGUCUGUUUCAUCUUUAUUCUUGAAAUGAGUAGCCUGCGCGCAGCCUCAAACAUUUCUAUCCCUUCGGGAUAGAAGUUUGAGGCUGCGCGCAGGCUAAAAAUGAGGGGAUUAGAAAGUGAAGAUUUGAAAAAGAGUUCUUAUUGAAAAGGGAUUGUUGCAGAGAUUCAAUUCUGAACCGUAAAGGAUUUUUUCUCACGUUCUCACCAGUUAAACCAAGGAUGCUUGGACUUGGACUAGAUGUUCAACCUUUAUGGGCCUCUAUGUUCAGUUUCGAAGAUUAUUUGGAACGGCGUCACGGAUGGACGAGAGAUACAGAGAGGGGCACGUAAAAUGUAACUAGAUUAAGGGGGCUAUGUAUGGCUUCCUAUCACUGACAAGUGACAUCCAGUAAGCCCUCCCUCUCGAAUACCUCUACUAUGGAAGUUGUUGUCAAGCCCUCACUUUUGCGUUUAUAAUGUGUUUUCAAAAUACAUAGUUCACUUGAAUACUUGACAAAAAGAUCACCAAAGCGAUGCAAAUAUCAAUAUUUUGGGCUAAAACAUCUUUAGCGUGUUGAUCUAAAACCAUUGAGUUGAGUUGAAUUAGUUAGUGACGUAAAUUGAGAUUCGGUGAAAGAAGUUACUAGUAAAUAAGAGCCAGCUGAUCGCCAUGCUCAGCGGUCUCUUUUUGAUACAAUUGUUAUCGCUCCGCACAUGCGUAUCACUCAAUCAAUAUUGGAUUAUCUGUGGUUGUUUGCUCGUCGAGACUCGCCUUUGACGGGAAGGACGAAGUUGGAAAGUUGGAAGUUAAAUGCUUGAAACACACAUUGAAUAUUGCAAAUAUGAAUGACGAUUUAUACAGCCGAGGAUCAAAGCGAAGGCUUUCUGAUGUAGAUGACAAUGAAAGGCUUACACAAAGACAAACAAUACUUAACAUGUCAAUAUGCAAAUUACAAAAAGACUAUGGCAAAAAGGAGCCACCUCUUCUCAGACAAAUACUAAUUACAAAUACUGUACAUAAAAUAGAACAAGAAAUGGAUGAAGAAUCACAAAUGAAUGUUUUGAAAAAUGAAGAUUUAUACCCACUUUAUGGCAGAUCAAUUGAAGCUGAAUUUAAAGACUGGACGAAAAGAGAGGCCAAAGCUUUUGUUGAUGAAUCUAGAAAUCCAGAUGAAAUAAGAGCCAGUUUUGCAGACAUUGGUACUGGAAUUUCAUCAAACAACAACAAUGAUAAUGAAGCUUUUGUGAUUCAAGAGACACCUAACAAAGAACCAAAUAAGUUUGGUGCCAUCGGUGAUCACAGAAAACAGGGUCAGUCUCAGUUAACAAAAAAGCACGCCGACAAGCAAAAUUAUUUCCACACACUUGGCUCUGACAUGAAGAUCUGGGAAGAUUGCAGCCAGCUUCAGCUGCCAAUGAUUUCUCUCCCUCCUUCAUCUGAAAACUUGACAGACAUUGAAUCAUUUUUCCACGAUAUAGAUAUAACCCUUUAUGAUUUUGACUUCAUGGCCUGGACCCCACAGCAACAUGAUUGGGGUAAAGGGGCAGAUGCUGUGCACUUUGCUUUGCCUUCCAUGAGUUGUGCUGCUGAAGUGGACAAGAAAAAAGGAGAUUCCUUCUUUGAUGACCUCGACCAGAUCAUGCAAGUCCUGGUGGGUAUGUAAUAUACAAAACACAGGUAAUACAUAUAGAUAUUUGGAUGCUAUUUUUGAAUUAUAAAUUCAAAUUCAUAUAUUUCUGCUCUCACUUUGUCCAGUGAUUGACAGUAAGAGACUCAGGAAUGGUUUUACUUUUUGCCACAUGUUUUUAGUCUGAUCGUCGGUACUUCUCUGUAAUGAAAUAUAAUAACAUAAGUGAUUUGUUGCUCCAACGCAUAAGAAAGUUUCUAUUCCUGAUCCUCUUACUCCUGUCACUUGAAAACUGAGUAGAUAUGUUUAAUCAUAAUCAUUUGAUUUGUAAAUAUUCAGAUUGCCAUUUUGGGUUUUAAAAUCUUUCAUAUAAAAUAUAUCAGACUUUCUUAGUGUCUAAAGCUAUCUUUCAUAUAGAGUGUUGAAAUUGUAAUUUAUGUCUUUUGUUGGUACAAAUUAAUGUAUAAGGUAGUAAUUUUUUUAUUCUUCGCACCCUUUCAUGCAGUUACAUCUACCAUGUAGAUAUGUUGUUCACUAAACCUAUUUGUUUUGGGUUAAACUAACAGUGGCAUGCAGGCAUUUGCAAAGUAUGAUUAUCUGUUGUUAUAGAUGGGGUGGCAUGUGAAAUUACAGCAAAAUAUCAAUAUAUAUUUAUAUAUUGUAAAGGAUUGUGUAUCUGUAUCUUGCUAUUAACCUCUGGCAGGUACACUCCUUUCAUAAUCUAAGAAAAAUUAAGAUGUAACAUAAGAUAACAUGAACUAGAAUGCCUUAUCAGUUACAAAAAGUUUUUCUAUGUUUUUUUAAAGUGAUUGAAUGGGAAAUAAUUGUCUAGUGGCCGAAAUGAAUCAUUUCCAUACCUUCUUUAAAACAUAUUGAUUUUAAACCGCUUUUUCUUAACUAUGUGAAUAUAGGAGACACAGCUACUGUAUCAACUAAAUUCAUGGUCAAAUAUUUGUAAACAACCUUGUAAAAACAUUUGCCUUGAUGCAUUUUGUGAAUUAUUUAAAGGCAUCCUUGCCAAUGUCUGUAAUGCUGUUCUUGAUAACAUUUUUGCUAGCAGUAAAUGUUUUCUGCAAUGCCAUUAAUUAUUUCCAUGUGAGUUUCAGGUAAGAAAAG
This is a non-coding RNA of Rhopilema esculentum, 3038 nucleotides long. Lineage: Eukaryota; Metazoa; Cnidaria; Scyphozoa; Rhizostomeae; Rhizostomatidae. The record is from RefSeq and is a predicted model, not a curated record.